GACGAACGCUGGCGGCGUGCCUAAUACAUGCAAGUAGGACGCACAGUUUAUACCGUAGCUUGCUACACCAUAGACUGUGAGUUGCGAACGGGUGAGUAACGCGUAGGUAACCUGCCUAUUAGAGGGGGAUAACUAUUGGAAACGAUAGCUAAUACCGCAUAACAGUAUGUAACACAUGUUAGAUGCUUGAAAGAUGCAAUUGCAUCGCUAGUAGAUGGACCUGCGUUGUAUUAGCUAGUAGGUAGGGUAAUGGCCUACCUAGGCGACGAUACAUAGCCGACCUGAGAGGGUGAUCGGCCACACUGGGACUGAGACACGGCCCAGACUCCUACGGGAGGCAGCAGUAGGGAAUCUUCGGCAAUGGGGGGAACCCUGACCGAGCAACGCCGCGUGAGUGAAGAAGGUUUUCGGAUCGUAAAGCUCUGUUGUUAAGGAAGAACGAGUGUGAAAAUGGAAAGUUCAUACUGUGACGGUACUUAACCAGAAAGGGACGGCUAACUACGUGCCAGCAGCCGCGGUAAUACGUAGGUCCCGAGCGUUGUCCGGAUUUAUUGGGCGUAAAGCGAGCGCAGGCGGUUAGAAAAGUCUGAAGUGAAAGGCAGUGGCUCAACCAUUGUAGGCUUUGGAAACUGUUUAGCUUGAGUGCAGAAGGGGAGAGUGGAAUUCCAUGUGUAGCGGUGAAAUGCGUAGAUAUAUGGAGGAACACCGGUGGCGAAAGCGGCUCUCUGGUCUGUAACUGACGCUGAGGCUCGAAAGCGUGGGGAGCGAACAGG
This 773-nucleotide ribosomal RNA is filed under the name Streptococcus anginosus. RNAcentral describes it as "bacterial SSU rRNA". It matches the Rfam family "Bacterial small subunit ribosomal RNA", at positions 28 to 776 of the family's 1533-position model. Lineage: Bacteria; Bacillati; Bacillota; Bacilli; Lactobacillales; Streptococcaceae. The record is from RNAcentral.